Molecule: ribosomal RNA, 450 nt
Filed under: uncultured bacterium
Lineage: Bacteria
Description: partial 16S ribosomal RNA
Rfam family: Bacterial small subunit ribosomal RNA
Source: RNAcentral
AACGAACGCUGGCGGCAUGCCUAACACAUGCAAGUCGAACGAGAUCUUCGGGUCUAGUGGCGCACGGGUGCGUAACGCGUGGGAAUCUGCCCUUUGGUUCGGAAUAACAGUUGGAAACGACUGCUAAUACCGGAUGAUGACGAAAGUCCAAAGAUUUAUCGCCAGAGGAUGAGCCCGCGUAGGAUUAGCUAGUUGGUGUGGUAAAGGCGCACCAAGGCGACGAUCCUUGGCUGGUCUGAGAGGAUGAUCAGCCACACUGGGACUGAGACACGGCCCAGACUCCUACGGGAGGCAGCAGUGGGGAAUAUUGGACAAUGGGCGAAAGCCUGAUCCAGCGAUGCCGCGUGAGUGAUGAAGGCCUUAGGGUUGUAAAGCUCUUUUACCCGGGAUGAUAAUGACAGUACCGGGAGAAUAAGCUCCGGCUAACUCCGUGCCAGCAGCCGCCUGUAA